ACGCCACGUAGGAAGCGCGUGGCCCUAGCACCGAUAAAAACGCCAGUAUGUGUGCCGUUGUUCGUGAAGGAACACGACAAACGAGUCGCGUUCCAUAAAUCGUCGCGUUCGGUUUAAGUGGCGAGUGAAAUUGCCGCUGGCUGCUCAUGUCGUCGAACACCUUGAACGCGUUGUACACCGUAGGUACGAUGUCCUCGUACGGGUUAUCGGACGCCACGAAUAGAAAUUAAAAAGAGCAGAAAAGAAGAAGGAGCAUAGUAUAAAGGGAUGGAUGGAUACUGGUUGGAUUCCAAUACGCUGGUCGGACACGUGUUCCGAGCUAGACUGCGAUUCGCAUUAACACCUCGGUUACGAGAAAGGGUAAUUAUCGACGAAGGUCGACGUUCCUCCUGGCUACCAAGAGGACAAUGAUCGGUUCAACCAUUCUGCGACCACGAGUCUUCCUUUCCAGCGAUUACGAAUUAAGGAUCAAACGAAUUUAAUAAUCGGAAAGCGUUAGCAGGAUGAUACCGAAGUAUGCACACUCGAUGGCCAAGGUGUUAAAGAAGAAAUUUAACCAUGUCUCCGAUCCAAAGGGGAUAUUCGAUCAGAGGAGAAAGAGGUUGGACGUCGAGACACGCCGAGACACCGGGGGAAUAUGCUCGUGUCUGGUCGAAUGCGAGAGAAGAGGAACGAGAAAACGAGAUUUCGAGAAGGGGAAGAAAAACGCAGUCGAAACGAAGUGCUCGAAAGAGAAUGAGGAGGGAGCUGGAGGAUACGCGAAACGUUCCUUUGAGAACAGAGGAUUAUCAUCGUAUUUCUUGUAGCGUAAUGACAGGGCAAAAAUCUGGCGAAAAAGAGCAUUUCCUUGGCGACGCAUUCUUGCACGUAAAAGAAGGCAUAAAUUCUCCCGUUCUUGCGCCAUCUGUUAUUACACUUCGGCUCAUUCUUGCCAACGUACGUCUGCUCCGUGCAACGGGUUUGCCGCGCGCCAUUAUUCGAUCAAAUAUCCCCUGCGCUUGGAGGAAUUAACGUUAGGAAAUUAGCAAACGUGAUUAAAUAUCAAGGAAAAUUUGCGCCAAUCAUCGAGAGAAAAACGAGGAACUUCGGAACGUUCGAUCCCAUUGUACCAUUUAUAAUUUCUGCAGCUAGGCGGCCUCGUUAGGGAACGUUAUAAAAUUCAUUAGGGUACCGUGUUGAAAGUGUUAACGAGCUAGUGAAACCGCGUAAUAUCGGCGCAACUAGUUUUUCCGCGCCACGUACCUGCUAUUAUUACAAGCUGUUAGAUUAGAGGUUGCUUAGAGACAAACAUAAAUCGCAUUAUCGUUAACGCGGCGGAAUCUCGUAACUUGCAUCGAUGAUGCCAGGAGGAUAGCAAUAAAAGGCAACUUCUUUCUUUCCGCUCCGUUCUCUGGGAUUUCCAGGGUCGCUGGUACGAGCGAGUUUUUGAGUCGAUUAGCAUACUUAAUUAGGCGAGUCAGUCGCGGCUAACGUUGUCGUUUUACGAGUUACAUGUGCCUGGUCGAACACUCGACCAGUCCUCCGCGGGAACCUUUAAGUACUCGCGGUAGAUUAACCAUGAGAUACGUCUAAUAAAAUUAGCCUACUAUUAAUGCCGAUGAAUAUAGCAUAGAAAAGAGUAACAGAGAUCGAAGAUAAAGCGAAACCGUUCGGUAUGCGUUCCCUAAUACGGAAACGUAUUCCCAGAGACGCGGCAACAAUAUGGAUACCGAUCCGUUCCGAUCCUACCGGCUAAAUUAAUAGACGAGCCAUAGAAUUGGCGAGCACACGACGAUGGGAAAUAUAAAACGUCAAAUGUACCACGUUCCCACCCAUCGAUGCCACGGAAACACGUUCGAGAGUGCAUACGCAAAAGCAACGAGAGAGGAAGAGGAAGGAACUCGCCCCCAUGAGUCGGCUCGUGCACGAGGCUGCGAGCGUGCGGGAGAUUAAAACGAAAAACCAUUGGUUCUUUUUUUCCCUCCGGUUGAAAGAGCAUCGCACUUGGCCAUAGAGAGAUACCGGCUCCCUGCCGAGAAUUCAAUGGGUGCUCUUGACCAAAGCCAUUUGCCGAGAAAAAGAGAAAAAGGGAUAGGCUUUGGAUACCGAUACAGGAACAUCGGUACCGCUCCGGAAGGUCUUGGCCCCUUUGUCAGGGGAAAAGGAGAGAUAUAUUCCUCCUCGACCCGCGAACGCACAGUUUUCGCGCUCGGAAUCGGAGCGAAUGGAACUCGUUAAAAUGACCCACUUCGAUAGCAGAUCAAUUCCCGCCCGAAUACGAUGCGUUCGACCAAUCGCCAUUCGACUGUGUACAUACGCGGUGUAUUUAUCGAACCUGCAACUUCGGACGCGGAACGAAAUUCGGAGCUGGAAAUGGGAUUUAUCCCGCGCGAACGGAGAAAACGACGUCCAGGAUGCUCGUGAUAAAUACACCAGCGUCGAUGCUUCGUCGUGAUAUUAAUACUUCUCCGGACGAACUAGUACUCUAACGCGAUAUCGAUCACCAUUACGUAUCCAAGAGGAAUCGUCGAGCAUGCUUUUACUCUCCAUCGGACGGCUGGCUGCUUUACACGGAAUAAUGAAUGGACCCGUCUAUUCGUGCAUCGCGUGGAGUUCAUUUAUUUCUCAAUUAGCCAACCGUGAAACCGUUGAAACAGCCUGCAGUAGACGGGAACGAAUUAUCGAUCAAUUUCUCGGCCAGAAUACCGUAAUCACCGGAACAGAGUUUUCGUGGAUCGAGGAAAAAUGUGGAGUCCAGGGGAAGAGGAACAGGGCUACGUGGGGGUGCAGAAGGAAAAGGCAGGACAAAGGGGUAACGGGUGAGCGAAAAGACGGGUCGACCUGUUGCGACUUUCACCAGAGUGGCACACGAUCGGUGGAUUGUAGCGCAGAGGUUAAAAGCGAU
This 2884-nucleotide long non-coding RNA is filed under the name Eufriesea mexicana. RNAcentral's name for it is "uncharacterized LOC108548122". The record is from RNAcentral. Lineage: Eukaryota; Metazoa; Arthropoda; Insecta; Hymenoptera; Apidae.